RNAcentral lists this small RNA (87 nucleotides) under Pedobacter psychrophilus. Its description in RNAcentral is "Pedobacter sp. CCM 8644 Flavo-1 RNA". It matches the Rfam family "Flavo-1 RNA". Lineage: Bacteria; Pseudomonadati; Bacteroidota; Sphingobacteriia; Sphingobacteriales; Sphingobacteriaceae. The record is from Rfam by way of RNAcentral.
AUUUAUAUGUGCGUUAGGGAUUGAAACGGCAUCCUUUUUUUCGCCUUUUUUGGCGAAGAAAAGAUACAGUGUAAAGCCCGUCAAAAC